This 436-nucleotide ribosomal RNA is filed under the name uncultured Saccharofermentans sp. Its description in RNAcentral is "bacterial SSU rRNA". It matches the Rfam family "Bacterial small subunit ribosomal RNA", at positions 341 to 792 of the family's 1533-position model. The record is from RNAcentral. Lineage: Bacteria; Bacillati; Bacillota; Clostridia; Eubacteriales; Oscillospiraceae.
ACGGGAGGCAGCAGUGGGGAAUAUUGGGCAAUGGGCGCAAGCCUGACCCAGCAACGCCGCGUGAAGGAAGAAGGCUUUCGGGUUGUAAACUUCUUUUACCAGGGACGAAGGAUGUGACCUACCCGAAGAAUAAGCCACGGCUAACUACGUGCCAGCAGCCGCGGUAAUACGUAGGUGGCAAGCGUUAUCCGGAUUUACUGGGUGUAAAGGGCGUGUAGGCGGCUCUGCAAGUCAGAAGUGAAAUUCCCGGGCUCAACCUGGGCGCUGCUUCUGAAACUGCAGAACUUGAGUACUGGAGGGGAAAGCGGAAUUCCUAGUGUAGCGGUAAAAUGCGCAGAUAUUAGGAGGAACACCGGUGGCGAAGGCGGCUUUCUGGACAGUAACUGACGCUGAGGCGCGAAAGCGUGGGGAGCAAACAGGAUUAGAUACCCUGGUA